GACCCUUGGGUGGUUCCCAUCUGAAAAGGGGGGCUGGGCGGCGGGCCUAAUACAUGCAAGUCGAACGCAGUCGACCUUCGGGUCAUAUGACUGAGUGGCGAACGGGUGAGUAACACGUGAGAAACCUGCCCCGAAGACUGGAAUAACCCGAGGAAACUCGGGCUAAUACCGGAUGUCCCCAGAUGGCCGCAUGGCCGACUGAGGAAAUGCUCCGGCGCUUUGGGAGGGUCUCGCGGCCUAUCAGCUUGUUGGUGAGGUAACGGCUCACCAAGGCUUCGACGGGUAGCUGGUCUGAGAGGACGAUCAGCCACACUGGGACUGAGAUACGGCCCAGACUCCUACGGGAGGCAGCAGUAGGGAAUCUUGCGCAAUGGGCGAAAGCCUGACGCAGCCACGCCGCGUGAGUGAUGAAGGCCUUCGGGUCGUAAAGCUCUUUCAGCAGGGACGAAAAUGACGGUACCUGCAGAAGAAGCCCCGGCCAACUACGUGCCAGCAGCCGCGGUAACACGUAGGGGGCAAGCGUUGUCCGGAUUUAUUGGGCGUAAAGGGCUCGUAGGCUGUUCAGUAAGUCAGGUGUGAAAACUCGAGGCUCAACCUCGAGACGCCACUUGAUACUGCUGUGACUAGAGUUCGGUAGAGGAGUGUGGAAUUCCUAGUGUAGCGGUGAAAUGCGCAGAUAUUAGGAGGAACACCAACAGCGAAGGCAGCACUCUGGGCCGAUACUGACGCUGAGGAGCGAAGCGUGGGGAGCGAACAGGAUUAGAUACCCUGGUAGUCCACGCCGUAAACGGUGGGCACUAGAUGUGGGAUCCAGUCAACGGAUUCGCGUCGUAGCUAACGCAUUAAGUGCCCCGCCUGGGGGAGUACGGGCGCAGGCUAAACUCAAAGGAAUUGACGGGGCCCGCACAAGCGGCGGGAGCAUUGUUGCUUAAUCGAGGCACGCGAAGAACUUACUGGGUUGACAUGUAGGGAAAGCAUAGAAUUGGGUGUCUAGGGCUACCAGGUGGUGCAUGCUGUCUCAACUCUGGUCCGUGGAAAGUUUGGGUUAAUUC
RNAcentral lists this ribosomal RNA (1052 nucleotides) under uncultured Actinomycetes bacterium. Its description in RNAcentral is "bacterial SSU rRNA". It matches the Rfam family "Bacterial small subunit ribosomal RNA", at positions 1 to 1086 of the family's 1533-position model. Lineage: Bacteria; Bacillati; Actinomycetota; Actinomycetes. The record is from RNAcentral.